Molecule: ribosomal RNA, 1540 nt
Filed under: Klebsiella variicola
Lineage: Bacteria; Pseudomonadati; Pseudomonadota; Gammaproteobacteria; Enterobacterales; Enterobacteriaceae
Also listed under: 4 other names
Description: bacterial SSU rRNA
Rfam family: Bacterial small subunit ribosomal RNA
Source: RNAcentral
AAAUUGAAGAGUUUGAUCAUGGCUCAGAUUGAACGCUGGCGGCAGGCCUAACACAUGCAAGUCGAGCGGUAGCACAGAGAGCUUGCUCUCGGGUGACGAGCGGCGGACGGGUGAGUAAUGUCUGGGAAACUGCCUGAUGGAGGGGGAUAACUACUGGAAACGGUAGCUAAUACCGCAUAAUGUCGCAAGACCAAAGUGGGGGACCUUCGGGCCUCAUGCCAUCAGAUGUGCCCAGAUGGGAUUAGCUAGUAGGUGGGGUAACGGCUCACCUAGGCGACGAUCCCUAGCUGGUCUGAGAGGAUGACCAGCCACACUGGAACUGAGACACGGUCCAGACUCCUACGGGAGGCAGCAGUGGGGAAUAUUGCACAAUGGGCGCAAGCCUGAUGCAGCCAUGCCGCGUGUGUGAAGAAGGCCUUCGGGUUGUAAAGCACUUUCAGCGGGGAGGAAGGCGGUGAGGUUAAUAACCUCACCGAUUGACGUUACCCGCAGAAGAAGCACCGGCUAACUCCGUGCCAGCAGCCGCGGUAAUACGGAGGGUGCAAGCGUUAAUCGGAAUUACUGGGCGUAAAGCGCACGCAGGCGGUCUGUCAAGUCGGAUGUGAAAUCCCCGGGCUCAACCUGGGAACUGCAUUCGAAACUGGCAGGCUAGAGUCUUGUAGAGGGGGGUAGAAUUCCAGGUGUAGCGGUGAAAUGCGUAGAGAUCUGGAGGAAUACCGGUGGCGAAGGCGGCCCCCUGGACAAAGACUGACGCUCAGGUGCGAAAGCGUGGGGAGCAAACAGGAUUAGAUACCCUGGUAGUCCACGCUGUAAACGAUGUCGAUUUGGAGGUUGUGCCCUUGAGGCGUGGCUUCCGGAGCUAACGCGUUAAAUCGACCGCCUGGGGAGUACGGCCGCAAGGUUAAAACUCAAAUGAAUUGACGGGGGCCCGCACAAGCGGUGGAGCAUGUGGUUUAAUUCGAUGCAACGCGAAGAACCUUACCUGGUCUUGACAUCCACAGAACUUUCCAGAGAUGGAUUGGUGCCUUCGGGAACUGUGAGACAGGUGCUGCAUGGCUGUCGUCAGCUCGUGUUGUGAAAUGUUGGGUUAAGUCCCGCAACGAGCGCAACCCUUAUCCUUUGUUGCCAGCGGUUAGGCCGGGAACUCAAAGGAGACUGCCAGUGAUAAACUGGAGGAAGGUGGGGAUGACGUCAAGUCAUCAUGGCCCUUACGACCAGGGCUACACACGUGCUACAAUGGCAUAUACAAAGAGAAGCGACCUCGCGAGAGCAAGCGGACCUCAUAAAGUAUGUCGUAGUCCGGAUUGGAGUCUGCAACUCGACUCCAUGAAGUCGGAAUCGCUAGUAAUCGUAGAUCAGAAUGCUACGGUGAAUACGUUCCCGGGCCUUGUACACACCGCCCGUCACACCAUGGGAGUGGGUUGCAAAAGAAGUAGGUAGCUUAACCUUCGGGAGGGCGCUUACCACUUUGUGAUUCAUGACUGGGGUGAAGUCGUAACAAGGUAACCGUAGGGGAACCUGCGGUUGGAUCACCUCCUUA